This 257-nucleotide ribosomal RNA is filed under the name uncultured Gardnerella sp. Its description in RNAcentral is "partial 16S ribosomal RNA". It matches the Rfam family "Bacterial small subunit ribosomal RNA", at positions 98 to 355 of the family's 1533-position model. Lineage: Bacteria; Bacillati; Actinomycetota; Actinomycetes; Bifidobacteriales; Bifidobacteriaceae. The record is from RNAcentral.
CGGAACGGGUGAGUAAUGCGUGACCAACCUGCCCCAUGCUCCAGAAUAGCUCUUGGAAACGGGUGGUAAUGCUGGAUGCUCCAACUUGACGCAUGUCUUGUUGGGAAAGUGUUUAGUGGCAUGGGAUGGGGUCGCGUCCUAUCAGCUUGUAGGCGGGGUAAUGGCCCACCUAGGCUUCGACGGGUAGCCGGCCUGAGAGGGCGGACGGCCACAUUGGGACUGAGAUACGGCCCAGACUCCUACGGGAGGCAGCAGUC